Molecule: ribosomal RNA, 253 nt
Filed under: uncultured bacterium
Lineage: Bacteria
Description: partial 16S ribosomal RNA
Rfam family: Bacterial small subunit ribosomal RNA
Source: RNAcentral
UACGGGGGGAGCAAGCGUUGUUCGGAUUUACUGGGCGUAAAGGGCGCGUAGGCGGUAGCACAAGUCAGUUGUGAAAUCUCCGGGCUUAACUCGGAAAGGUCAACUGAUACUGUGCGACUAGAGUGCAGAAGGGGCAACUGGAAUUCUCGGUGUAGCGGUGAAAUGCGUAGAUAUCGAGAGGAACACCUGCGGCGAAGGCGGGUUGCUGGGCUGACACUGACGCUGAGACGCGAAAGCGUGGGGAGCGAACAGG